This is a long non-coding RNA of Capsella rubella, 2088 nucleotides long. RefSeq lists it as uncharacterized. The transcript is spliced from 3 exons. NCBI's taxonomy places the organism in Eukaryota, Viridiplantae, Streptophyta, Magnoliopsida, Brassicales, Brassicaceae. The record is from RefSeq and is a predicted model, not a curated record.
UACACGGGUGUUUUUUCGUUUUCGCGUCUGUGUUUAGAUAUCAUUAACAUUAGAAAUGCUAUGGUAUGGUGUCUCGGGAUUCCAUUAUAUUUUGUCCCCGCUUUUGAAGAAAACCUAAAAAUAACAAAGGGGGAAAAUCAAAGGUCAUCUUUUUCUCUUUUGAGCUCAAUACAAUUCUCACGAAGUCUUUGAAUCCUUUUGAGCUCAAAAUCCUAAUUACCCACUUGAAACCUUAGUUUCUAUCUCGAAUCACUUUCCUUUAUCAGCCAAAAACCUUAAUUCGUGUUGAAUCUCAAUUCCGCAGUUGAAUCGUCGCUCACUCUCAUCACUUUAAUAGUUGCAGAGGUAUGUAAACUUAAGUCGAUUUCCAUUUGAAUAUGUGUUUUUGAGCCAAUGUUUCUAUCAAUUUGCAAUCGAUUUCCUUUUGAAUCUAUGUUAGCCACUGUUUCAAAUUUGCAAUCGAGUUAGAAGUUUGUUUUUUGGGUUGAAACUGUCGAUGCUUCCAAUUUUUUUGCAAAGAGCUUUGGGUUUGCAGUCAACAAAGGAAAACACAAAUUUAUUCGGUGAGUCAUUCACUAAUUUCUUCUCCUACUCUAUGUGUUGAAUGGUAUAGUGUUUUGAGUGUCCGUUUUUACAUUAUGUCUCUCACUGAUCUACUUGCAUAUUCUUACUUUAUAUGUAUAUAUACUUGGUCGUGGAGAUUUGGUGUUGUAUAAACAUGGACAAGUCUUGGGUCUAGCAUCCAAGGUAUGGAUUUGUUUGUUAUCUUCAUUGGUUUGAUAAUUACAUUUUUUUUAUAAAUUAUUAGACUGAAAGAUAUUACAUCACGGGGCUAGUAUAGAGUAUCAGAGAGGGGUAUCUAAUUUUGUUAAAGCAUCGUCAGUGAGAUUGGGUAAUCCUACUGAGAUGUUAUGUCCGUGCAUUGAUUGCCACAAUGUAUGCCUCGAAGAAGUAGAGGGAUGGGUAGAGGUGUGACUGCGACAAAGUUAGCUUUCAUGCAGUGUAGAGAUGAACAUGUGCAGAAGCUUGAAGCUAAAAAGGCAGAAUUGAUCAACAAGAUUGAGGAUCUACAAAUUCAAGUUCGUGGCUUAACUAAUGGGAAGCAGAAUGAAGAUGUUCCUUCUCCCAAGCAAGUAGAGCAAGCAAACUAGUUUGUAAGUGCUAGAUUGGUGUUCAGUGGAUGAUGUUGUAGUAGGGGAAGGAUAAAUCUUCAUUGUUAACAGAAGAUAAAUCUUCUCUAUCGUUUCUUUCAUGCUUGAUUUGAAGCAAACAAUCAGAAGGAGCGACCCAAAAGAGAUAGAAUCGAUUAACUUUAUUUUCGAACCGUUUUUGUCUUAUUUGUUCACGGUUAGAACAGGAACGACCCGAAUUGUUAGAGAACCCAAAACCGUUUUGUUGAUGAUUUACUAAAGGAUUCAAAAUAUUUACAAAUUCCCUUGGCCUCUGAAAGUUGAAUAUUUCUCGCUAAUCUCCCAGAGUGUUGCUUUACGUUUUGAUUCAGAAUGGAAGCAAGGAAAGGCAUAGUAUGUGGACUCCCGGCAAAAGGAAUCAUACCAAAGAUCCAUCAACAGCCACCAGAAGAAGCACAUGAUGAUCAAGGAAGUGAUGGGGUGGAGCUCACACUAGUAGAAUACCAAAGAAAUAUGGGAUACUUCAUACGGGUUGAGGAAGACGAAGAAGACAUCAAACCUGUUCCGAAGACUUGUCCAAAACCUCAUAAACGAAGAAAAAAGGCUUAGACACCAAAUAAUCUCUGCUGCAAUGAAACGACCAAACAAUAACAAGGAGACUCCUCAAGAGGCAAGUCGCAUCGUCGAAACUAAGAGGCAGAAGCUGAAGGUGUUAGUUCAUCUACAUAUAAUUACCAACUUUUUUAUAUUCCAACUUGUUAUCACUACAAGAAUAUUGGCUUUUCUUAGCAUCUGAAUAACGCUAUCUAACGAUAGUAUAGCGUUUUUACAAGCACUAUUUAUGCGCCCUUCAUCAUAGCUCAGACACUUUAGAUAGCGGUUUUUCCCUACGCUAUUGUAUAUAAUAGUGCUUAUUUGUCUGCAUUAAAUAGUUUAUAAUAGCGUGUUUCUUUUGUCA